RNAcentral lists this unclassified non-coding RNA (357 nucleotides) under Hevea brasiliensis (rubber tree). The record is from RNAcentral. Lineage: Eukaryota; Viridiplantae; Streptophyta; Magnoliopsida; Malpighiales; Euphorbiaceae.
GGCCUGGUGUCAUCAUGUAAUAAGUGAAAUGAAUAAUUUAAGAACAAGCAGAACAUCCACGAUUCUUCUAAAUGAAAACUUUAAAAUAAUUAUAUGGAGACAUAACCCAGAUAUGCAAUUUAUUUAGAUAAAAUCAUAACCAGAUCAUGAAAAUUAAAUUCCAGAGUACACACAAGUGAAAAUGCCAUUAGCCGAUACAGUCUGUUUAAACCCAAUCAAACAUGAAAUCUUAUGGAUAAAACAUCUAGCUACGAGAAAAAAUAGGCACCAAUUACUUCACACAGGCGAAUUAGAAGGAGCAAGGGUUAUCAGAGUUUGAUCAAAUAAGAUGACGCCUAAUCAUAGGUUUCAGAUAAG